CCUACGGGCGGCAGCAGUGGGGAAUAUUGCACAAUGGGGGAAACCCUGAUGCAGCGACGCCGCGUGAGUGAAGAAGUAUUUCGGUACGUAAAGCUCUAUCAGCAGGGAAGAAAAUGACGGUACCUGACUAAGAAGCCCCGGCUAACUACGUGCCAGCAGCCGCGGUAAUACGUAGGGGGCAAGCGUUAUCCGGAUUUACUGGGUGUAAAGGGAGCGUAGACGGCAGCGCAAGUCUGGAGUGAAAUCCCAUGGCUUAACCAUGGAACUGCUUUGGAAACUGUGCAGCUAGAGUGCAGGAGAGGUAAGCGGAAUUCCUAGUGUAGCGGUGAAAUGCGUAGAGAUUAGGAGGAACACCAGUGGCGAAGGCGGCUUACUGGACUGUAACUGACGUUGAGGCUCGAAAGCGUGGGGAGCAAACAGGAUUAGAUACCCGAGUAGUC
Molecule: ribosomal RNA, 440 nt
Filed under: uncultured bacterium
Lineage: Bacteria
Description: partial 16S ribosomal RNA
Rfam family: Bacterial small subunit ribosomal RNA
Source: RNAcentral